Long non-coding RNA from Helianthus annuus (common sunflower), 1026 nucleotides. RefSeq lists it as uncharacterized. The record is from RefSeq and is a predicted model, not a curated record. The transcript is spliced from 3 exons. Lineage: Eukaryota; Viridiplantae; Streptophyta; Magnoliopsida; Asterales; Asteraceae.
CUAAAAGACGAAAACAAAAGAUCCUAUUGUGAAAACUAUACUUUUCAUUUCUUUUAUUUAAUAUACUUCCACAGUUGACGUCACCUAAACAACCACAUAACCAGGUAAGCCUACGUAUCAAACAUAAAUACAUGCUACGAUUCUUUCCAAAAUAAUGUGUUAUAGUUUAGUGUAUCAUCUUAACUAUCAUCAUGUAGCUCCGUACACAAACGUUAUAUGAGUUAACUUGAGUAUCGUAGAUGUGGGAAACCAAAACAGAAACAAAAAUGCCUUUGAUUCAGCCCUACAACCUUUUCUAGAAUUCCAGGUAUGAUGACAUAUUUACACCUAUAGUUGUGAAAUAAUUGAAUUACAAUGCUUUUUGAAAGACAUGGUGCAGAUCUUUAUAGCUUCACUCAUUCACUCGAUAUUUCAAUUUGUUGCAUCCUACUAUAAGCCUGAAUUGUUAUGAGAUAGACACCAUCUUUUUAUGUGUAAUUUGUUAUGUAUUGUAUACUUUAACUGAUGUAUAUUACAAUUUUUCAAGGCUCUAAUCUUUUUUCUUCUAAUUUGAUUAUAUAAGCAGCCAACCAACAAUGACUUUUGCAAUUACUAUUGGUUUAUGCUCACUCCCUUACUUUUAUAGAUGAUUAUGAAUGGAUCUAAUAAUUAUUUAUGAAAUCGUUUUAAUCUCAGCUCACUUUCAUCUUAUUUUAGGUUUAAGCACUUUAGUUGUUUACUGACUCGGAAGGAGGGAGGGAGGGUUGAUUCAAGAAAAAGGCUGAGGUUUAAAAAUUGGAAGUUUUCUGCAACAGGGUUGUUUAGUUGUAGGUGGUAGGCUGAGCAAUUAGAGUGCAUUAAAGAGGAAUUCUGAAUUUGAUGCCCUAUUAGUGAGGCGAGCGAAGCUCUUGUGAAAACGCAUUAAGUAGGUGGUGAUGCUUCAUGUGAGAUGCAACUUCUAGAAUCAAGGACCGAGAUGGAUGGAGAUGAUGGAAAAGGUUGGGAGACUGUUGAUUUUUUUAGAACGAAACUUUUAAAACUACUUUG